AGGGGACCUCUUGGUGUCUCCAUAUAUUCCGCGGAACAGCAGACACCUUUAAAUUUACGGUUCUUAUUUCCUCGACUCUCCCCUCGCGUCUGGAAUCUCUCCUCUAUUUGCUCGAUCUCUAUCAGAAAACAACCAUGGUGUGCGACAAGUGCGAGAAGAAGCUGGCGAAGGUAAUCGUGCCGGACAAGUGGAAGGAGGGCGCCAGCAACACCACCGAGAGCGGCGGCCGAAAGAUCAAUGAGAACAAGCUCCUCUCCAAGAAGAACAGAUGGACACCUUAUGGAAAUACCAAGUGCAUGAUUUGCAAACAACAAGUACACCAAGAUGCAAAAUAUUGUCAUACUUGUGCAUACUCUAAAGUUUUGUAGCCAUGAGUUUAAUGUGCACCAGAAUUUUCAAUUUCUGUCACUAAGUUGAUCUCUGUGUAGAACCUGAUAAUGAAUUGAAGUUACUUCUGAAUGCAGGGGUGUGUGCCAUGUGCGGGAAGCAAGUGCUGGACACAAAGUUAUACAAGCAAAGUAACGUAUGAUGACGUAGUGUCAUUUCUUGGAUCACAAUGUUUAUAAUUUCUUAGCUUGCUUGGUUUGCAGCGUGCUAUAGUUAAAAUUGCUUCAGACAAAGGCCACAUGGAACCUGGAUGUUGAUAUAUGUACCUCUUAUCAAUCUACAAAUGAUUGGACCCGUUGUUUAUGAGAUGAUUAACAGUCAUAAUCCUAGUGGAAUCAAUAGUAUUUGGAUCUA
This is an RNA transcript of Musa acuminata AAA Group (dessert banana), 741 nucleotides long. RefSeq lists it as uncharacterized. NCBI's taxonomy places the organism in Eukaryota, Viridiplantae, Streptophyta, Magnoliopsida, Zingiberales, Musaceae. The record is from RefSeq and is a predicted model, not a curated record. The transcript has 5 exons.